GGUGAAAGGAAGGUACUCACUAUUCACUAAAAUUGGAAAAACACAGAGAUUAGCAUGGUCCAUGUGCAAGGAUGGCAUGCAAAUUUGUGAAGCAGUCCAUAUUUUU
Molecule: small nuclear RNA, 106 nt
Filed under: Tupaia belangeri (northern tree shrew)
Lineage: Eukaryota; Metazoa; Chordata; Mammalia; Scandentia; Tupaiidae
Source: RNAcentral